GCCCUGGUAGUGUAGUGGUCUAGCACUGAGCCCUGUCAAGGCUCCAACCCGGGUUCGAGUCCCGGCCAGGGCG
Molecule: transfer RNA, 73 nt
Filed under: Candidatus Pacearchaeota archaeon
Lineage: Archaea; Nanobdellati
Description: tRNA-Asp
Rfam family: tRNA
About the family: Transfer RNA (tRNA) molecules are approximately 80 nucleotides in length.
Source: RNAcentral